UGUUAAUAUUAUUAUAUUAGAAUAUGUAAUAUGCAUAAAUAUUCAAGGAACAAUCUAAAUUGCAGUGUACGAACUUAACAUGAACAGGAAUGACAUUUACACUAAACGGGUGACCAAAAAGAACUAUCUGAAAGCCACGCCUCCAAUAAGCCACGCCUUCAAUCUGAUAGGCUGCCACCUCUACAAUAUAUAAUGAAAAAGGGUACAAAAAAAUAACUCCUACCAUCACAAAAAGGAUCCGGUUUGAAACUUUACCCAGGAGUUCCUCGACGACCCUUUUCAGAGGGGGUUUCCUCGACGACCCUUUUCAGAGGGGGUUUCCUCGACGACCCUUUUCAGAGGGGGUUUCCUCGACGACCCUUUUCAGAGGGGGUUUCUCGACGACCCUUUUCAGAGGGGGUUUCCUCGACGACCCUUUUCAGAGGGGGUUUCUCGACGACCCUUUUUCAAAUGUAAACGUUCCACCGGUGUGGCAAACCAAAAGGUUCUUCCAGACACCGUUUCUUUUAAGAGUGAAUAAUGACCUUUCAUUCAGGCCCCACUGUUCUAGCAAAACAAAACAUGGUGGGGGCUGUCUGUUGUGGUAGGCCGGUGACGACGACCGCCGAGCGCCACUCGAACAGGAAGAGGAGCUACCUUCGGUAGGAGUCGUGACAGUUGUUGUCUGUUGUGCAUGUUAUUUUGGCAUUAAUACGUGUCACAUAUCAGUUUGCAAACAAUGUAAAAAAAUAAAUAAAAAAUGAACAAACAAUUUAGUUAAUAAAGCCGCAUACAAACUUGGUUUAUUUUUUUUGCUUUCUUGAGUAAGGCAGGUCCAAAAUGCAGGUGUUUCAGCCUAGCUCAGUGCUUUAUGUGGUGGUGGGGCCGCCACUCAUGGGGACACUACGUCACCACCAAAUCUAAGGGUGGAGCUUGACAAUUCAAUCCCCUUGGGUGCUGCCAUAGAGUUACAUUAGAAGUGUCCAUCCAAGAAGGACCUCAAGGUCAUUGGCUUACAGAAAGAAUUACGUCAAAUCACGUGAUAUCUACAGCAGCUUUGAUUGGACUGAUCAUGUCAACAUCGUACUUUCAAAAUCUUAGCUAGCAGUCAUCAUCAUGAAUCAAGUCGACAAUCUACUCGCAAAUCCUUUUUAAUCCUUUUCAUAUGAAGAUAAAUAAUUAAGAGAAAUUAUAGAUAAAACGUAUCGGUGCUCAUCGGCCAUUGGACAUAAACAUUCCACAACAAGUUGGAAAUUGCAAAUUCAACAAUGAGAGGUUUGGAAGGAAUCAGUGGCUAACUGCAAGCAUUGCAAAGCAAUCACUAUCCUGCUAUUCAGUGGAGUGGCUGUGUGGUCCAAGUCUGGGUUUAAGGGUCUCUUUUCCAAACUUAAAAGGAUAAACAUUCAACAUUGGCCAUGCUGUCAAUCCAGCAUGACUUCUGCCUCCUAGCUCGCUCAUUGUCUUAAACUAAAUGACAGAUGGCCUCUUAUCCGCUUGUCGUCCCCUUAUGCCAGAGUUUGUUACAUCUCAAUUGUCAGUAGAAACCACAUUUGUUUAAGUAAGUCAGCCAUAUCAGCUCUGUUUUUUUAAAAGGCAGUAAAUGAGUCUGAAUGAACUGUUUUUGCUGCCAGAAAAGGCUCCACUGAUAGCUAGGUGUAGCAGUGGUAAGAUGUUGGGUGGCAGGGUAGCCUAGUGGUUAGAGCGGUGGACUAGUUAACCGGAAGGUUGCAAGUUCAAAUCCCCAAGCUGACAAGGUACAACUCUGUCGUUCUGCCCCUGAACAAGGCAGUUAACCCACUGUUCCUAGGCCGUCAUUGAAAAUAAGAAUUUGUUCUUAACUGACCUGCCUAGUUAAAUAAAGGUUAAAAAAAAUGUGGGGACUGCUGUUGGGACUCUGCUGUUGGGACUCCACUGAUAGCCAGGUGUAGCAGUGGUAAGAUGUGGGGACUGCUGUUGGGACUCCACUGAUAGCCAGGUGUAGCAGUGGUAAGAUGUGGGGACUGCUGUUGGGACUCCACUGAUAGCCAGGUGUAGCAGUGGUAAGAUGUGGGGACUGCUGUUGGGACUCUGCUGUUGGGACUCCGCUGAUAGCCAGGUGUAGCAGUGGUAAGAUGUGGGGACUGCUGUUGGGACUCUACUGUUGGGACUCCACUGAUAGCCAGGUGUAGCAGUGGUAAGAUGUGGGGACUGCUGUUGGGACUCUGCUGUUGGGACUCCACUGAUAGCCAGGUGUAGCAGUGGUUAAGAUGUGGGGACUGCUGUUGGGACUCUGCUGUUGGGACUCCACUGAUAGCCAGGUGUAGCAGUGGUAAGAUGUGGGGACUGCUGUUGGGACUCCACUGAUAGCCAGGUGUAGCAGUGGUAAGAUGUGGGGACUGCUGUUGGGACUCCACUGAUAGCCAGGUGUAGCAGUGGUAAGAUGUGGGGACUGCUGUUGGGACUCCGCUGAUAGCCAGGUGUAGCAGUGGUAAGAUGUGGGGACUGCUGUUGGGACUCUGCUGUUGGGACUCCACUGAUAGCCAGGUGUAGCAGUGGUAAGAUGUGGGGACUGCUGUUGGGACUCUACUGUUGGGACUCCACUGAUAGCCAGGUGUAGCAGUGGUAAGAUGUGGGGACUGCUGUUGGGACUCUGCUGUUGGGACUCCACUGAUAGCCAGGUGUAGCAGUGGUAAGAUGUGGGGACUGCUGUUGUGACUCUGCUGUUGGGACUCCACUGAUAGCCAGGUGUAGCAGUGGUAAGAUGUGGGGACUGCUGUUGGGACUCUGCUGUUGGGACUCCACUGAUAGCCAGGUGUAGCAGUGGUAAGAUGUGGGGACUGCUGUUGGGACUCUGCUGUUGGGACUCCACUGAUAGCCAGGUGUAGCAGUGGUAAGAUGUGGGGACUGCUGUUGGGACUCCACUGAUAGCCAGGUGUAGCAGUGGUAAGAUGUGGGGACUGCUGUUGGGACUCUGCUGUUGGGACUCCACUGAUAGCCAGGUGUAGCAGUGGUAAGAUGUGGGGACUGCUGUUGUGACUCCACUGAUAGCCAGGUGUAGCAGUGGUAAGAUGUGGGGACUGCUGUUGGGACUCUGCUGUUGGGACUCCACUGAUAGCCAGGUGUAGCAGUGGUAAGAUGUGGGGACUGCUGUUGUGACUCUGCUGUAAGGGCCUACAUAAAGCUGUCCCAACAGUUUGUGGACAACAUUUGUCACCGUUAUAGUGCAGUUAAUGUAUUGUUAAGUGUUGUGGGUUUGCUGGCAUCUCAAAAAAUAUAAAUAUUUUUGCCCCUCCAAGAUUUACAUGCUAAAAUCACCACUGAUAAUGAUUGGGGAUUUACAUUAGUGAGGUAAGGACUGCAUUUGAAUUUUUUCCCAGAGUGCACUUGUUCCCUUUGUAAAAACAAUGUAUGACUCCAUUGGGAUUGACUUCACAUUAAAAUGAUGUGAAUGGCAGUGAAACAGUAUAAAAUGACAGAAGUUCCCUCUGGGGAAAAAUGUAGUAAUUCCAUUCUAUUCUAAUUAACGAUUUUGAAAUGUGCCACUGAAACGAAUUACUUCUCACAAAGUUAAUUAUGUUCUAACACCCCCCCCACCCUAAUUGAAAGGGAAAUGUCUGGUUUUGUCAGCAUGAUUAAAUAAAUAAAAAUAAAAAAAGUGCAUUUGAGACCAAUGCUGAAUGGUGUCCUUAGAGCCACUUUUGAGCCCUAAUGGCUGGCUAGUGGCAUCGGAGGUCAUUCAGGUUCAAUAGCACUGAAGGAAACUGACAUCCACCCAUAGAUAUUGUAUGUCAAUGUGAGGUACUGAUUCACCAGACACUUAGCAGCACCCCUGGCUCAUCGCUUUAACACAACAAUAUUGUAAAUAGCAUCUAUUUUGUAACUUUUGGUCCCUGAACCUUGAAGGGAAGGUAGGGUGGGGAGGUAGGGUGGGGAGGUAGGGUGGGGAGGUAGGGUGGGGAGGGUAGGGUGGGGAGGGUAGGGUAGGGAGGGUAGGGUAGGGAGGGUAGGGUGGGGAGGUAGGGUGGGGAGGGUAGGGUGGGGAGGUAGGGUGGGGAGGUAGGGUGGGGAGGUAGGGUGGGGAGGUAGGGUGGGGGAGGUAGGGUGGGGAGGUAGGGUGGGGAGGUAGGGUGGGGAGGUAGGGUGGGGAGGGGGGGGGGGGGGUAGGGUGGGGAGGGGGGGGGUGGGGGAGGUAGGGUGGGGAGGUAGGGUGGGGAGGUAGGGUGGGGAGGUAGGGUGGGAGGUAGGGUGGGGAGGUAGGGUGGGGAGGUAGGGUGGGGAGGUAGGGUGGGGAGGUAGGGUUGGGGAGUAGGGUGGGGAGGUAGGGUUAGGGGCAGGUAGGGUGGGGAGGUAGGGAGGGGAGG
Oncorhynchus kisutch (coho salmon) is the source of this 4319-nucleotide long non-coding RNA. The record is from Ensembl. Lineage: Eukaryota; Metazoa; Chordata; Actinopteri; Salmoniformes; Salmonidae.